UAGGGUUUGUUAUGGCUCAUAUGAACGUUGGCGGCGUGGAUUAGGCAUGCAAGUCGAGCGAGAAGUUUACUUCGGUAUUGGAAGCGGCGAAAGGGACAGUAAUGUGUAGGUACCUACUUUUCGAUCCGGGAUAGCCGCGGGAUCUGCAGGUAAUACCGGAUAUUGUCUUCGGACAAAGGUGUGAUUCCGUCAGGGGGGAGCCCGCAUCUAUUAGCUUGUUGGUGAGGUAACGGCUCACCAAGGCAACGAUGGGUAGCGGGUGUGAGAGCUGACCCGCGUCAUCGGGAUGAGACACUGCCCAACAUCUACGGAUGGCUGCAGUCGAAAUCUUCGGCAAUGGGCGAAGCCUGACCGACGACGCCGCGUGCGGGAUGAAGGCCUCGGGUUGUAAACCGCUGUCGUUGGGAGGAAGCAAAAGGGUUAUUCUUUGUUUGACCAAUUCAAGGAGAAGUACGGGCUAAGUUCGUGCCAGCCGCCGCGGUAAUUCAAUCA
Molecule: ribosomal RNA, 492 nt
Filed under: uncultured Planctomycetota bacterium
Lineage: Bacteria; Pseudomonadati; Planctomycetota
Description: bacterial SSU rRNA
Rfam family: Bacterial small subunit ribosomal RNA
Source: RNAcentral